GUGCCAGCCGCCGCGGUAAUACGGAGGGUGCGAGCGAUAAUCGGAAAAACUGGGCGUAUAGCGCUUGCAGGUGGUAUGUUAAGUCAGAUGUGAAAGCGCGGGGCUCAACCUCGGAAUUGCAUUUGAUACUGGUGAACUAGAGUACUGUAGAGGGGGGUAGAAUUUCAGGUGUAGCGGUGAAAUGCGUAGAGAUCUGAAGGAAUACCGGUGGCGAAGGCGGCCCCCUGGACAGAUACUGACACUCAGAUGCGAAAGCGUGGGGAGCAAACAGGAUUAGAAACCCGAGUAGUCC
RNAcentral lists this ribosomal RNA (292 nucleotides) under uncultured prokaryote. Its description in RNAcentral is "partial 16S ribosomal RNA". It matches the Rfam family "Bacterial small subunit ribosomal RNA", at positions 505 to 796 of the family's 1533-position model. The record is from RNAcentral.